AUGGAAAUGCUUACUGUUUUACCGUUGAUCUCGCUCGUUGUAGCAGUAGUAUGCCUAAUACGAGCAAUAGUCAUGGUAAUCAAGUCGGCCAGAACAACAGCCGGCGAGGCGCCUCUCCCACCAGGCCCGUCCAAGCUCCCGCUGAUCGGCAGCAUUCACCACCUGGCCACCGGCGAGCUCCCACACCACGCCAUCACUCGCCUCGGCCGCGAGCACGGCCCGUUGAUGCACCUGCAGAUGGGGCAGGUCGGCCUCGUCGUCGUCUCGUCCCGCGAGGCGGCCAGGGAGGUCAUGAAGGUGCAGGACGCAAACUUCGCCCACCGCCCGGAGCUAGCCGGGCCCAAAGCUCUUCUGUACGGCUGCGCCGACGUCGCCUUCUCCUCCGGCGGCCCCUCCUGGCGCCGGCUGCGCAAGGUGUGCGUCGUCAAGCUCCUUUGCGCGAACCGGGUCAGGUCUUUCGCUCCCAUACGGAGGGAGGAAACACGCCGUCUCCUGGAGAGCAUCGCCGGACACUGUCCGGGCAAGGCCAUCGACCUCCGGGCCAUGGUCGAGGCCUUCAGCAGCGCCAUCGUGAGCAGGACGGCAUUGAGCGAGACGUUCGAGCACAGAGGCUCCAUCUUAAAGAAGGGCCUGGAACUGGCGUCGGGGUUCAACCUGUCGGACCAUUUCCCGUCGUUGAGCUUCCUCAACGUUCUGAUGAGGCACCGGCUGCGACGGGUGCACCGUCAGGUCGACAAGCUACUCGAAGACAUCAUUGAGGAGCGCAAGCGGCUUCGGCAGAAGAAGAUGAAGGACACAACAGAGGACAUGGUAGAUGUGCUUCUCGACGCCAUGGAGCAUCCAGCAGGCACGGACGUGCCCAUUACACACGACAACAUCAAAGCUGUCAUAAUGGAUAUGUUUGCCGGAGGCACAGAGACAUCAUCGUCAACGAUAGAGUGGGCGCUCGCAGAGCUCAUGAAGAACCCUAAGGAAAUGACCAAAGUACAGGACGAGGUGAGGAUAAAAAUGGAAGGAGAGGCACGUUGGUGCGACAUCGGGCAGCUCAACUACCUCCGGCUUGUCGUCAAGGAGACGCUGCGGCUGCACAUGCCGGCGCCUCUUCUAGUUCCCAGGGUCUGCAAGGAGCGGUGCCCUCUCGGUGGCUACACGAUUCAGGCCGGGAGCAGGGUGGUCAUCAACGCUUGGGCCAUGGGCAGGGACCCGAGGUACUGGAAGGACGCCGAGGCGUUCCGUCCCGGGAGAUUCCUUGGCACAAGCGUCGACUUCAAGGGAGGCGACUUUGAGUUCCUGCCGUUCGGUGCCGGCCGGAGAAUGUGCCGGGGGAUAGAGUUUGGGCUCGCCGGCGUCGAGCUUUGCUUGGCGCAACUCCUGUUCUAUUUUGACUGGACGCUUCCUGGUGGCAUGGCGCCUGAAGACCUCGACAUGAGCGAGAAAUCAUUCGGUGUUUUGUCGGUAGUCCGAAAGGAGCCACUUCGGUUGAUCCCCAGCAUACACGCUCCACUUCACCUCAAGUAUUGA
RNAcentral lists this ribosomal RNA (1521 nucleotides) under Triticum aestivum (bread wheat). RNAcentral describes it as "partial small subunit ribosomal RNA". The record is from RNAcentral. Lineage: Eukaryota; Viridiplantae; Streptophyta; Magnoliopsida; Poales; Poaceae.